GGGAUCAUCACCUAGUGGUAACAAAUGUUCAAGAUGCGGUAGAAGACCUCAUUCAAAACAAGAUUGUCCAGCUAGGAGCGUUACAUGCUACUCCUGUAAAAAGGCUGGUCACUUCAGCUCACAGUGCUUCUCAAAACACAAAAAGAGAGUUUCUGACAUUAAGAUAGAGGCACGGUCAAAGGAACUGGGGACAGACGAGGAUAUAAAAUACCUCAAUGUAAUUAUACUCUGGGCCCCAAUCAAAGCUCACUUAAUACCACACUUAGUUCAGAGUAGAUAGUUAUAUUACACUUAUAAUUUUAACUUUGAUUCUGAGGUAUCUAAAGUAUUGCUGACAACAGAGUUGCCAGGAGAUGAGAAUGCUCUUUAUGAAUAUGUUGAUGAGCUUAGAGACUGUCCUUUAUCACCUUCUUCCUCAUCCUCCUCUUCCUCUGAACAACAGAUAAAUGCAUUAUCAUUAUAACACUUCAUGUGCCUCAAACAUACUGUCUGUUUUGUUUUAUAAUAAUUUCACUUUUUAUAAUGAGCGCAA
This is a long non-coding RNA of Amphimedon queenslandica, 532 nucleotides long. RefSeq lists it as uncharacterized. NCBI's taxonomy places the organism in Eukaryota, Metazoa, Porifera, Demospongiae, Haplosclerida, Niphatidae. The transcript is spliced from 2 exons. The record is from RefSeq and is a predicted model, not a curated record.